AUGCCGAUCGCCAUGGACACUGGAGGCGCACCGGAGCCGGAGCCGGAGGAGGAGACCGUCGUCCUCCCUCAUUGGGUGGUGCUGGACCGCAAGGGCAACACCCUCUGCCACAACAGCCUAGAAGCUGCUCGUGUGGCUGUCGACAAGGACAAGACCGCCGCUCCGGUCGACAUGGACGGCGGCCCCUCCUGCUACGUGACCUUCACCCUCGCGGCUCCUCAAAAAGGGAUCUCCUGCCUCAACCUCCACUUGCCGGAGGGACCUCCAAUUGCCUUAGACACCCCGCCCGCCUAUGCCUUCCUCCUGGCAACCGACAACAACCUCGUCCUCUUCGACAUCACCAACCCGCAGAAAAAAGUCAAGGAAAUCGUCCUCUUCGACAUCUCCAACCCGAGCCGGAGUUGCUACCGGGAGCCCCCGGCAGAUCUGUUCAUCUACAAGGCCGGCGGUCCUCGCCCCUCGGUGCAGGGUCUCCCUCCCUUCGCCGAGUACAGUAGAAGGCCGUUCCUGACGGGUGACCUCACCACAGGCAUCCUGCAGCUCGCGGAGGACCACUUCAUUGUUGCCGACCUCAAUGUCUACCCCAAAAGAAAGGGCAUGCGUGCCGAACUCUGCGUCUUCAACUCCGAGACUGGAAAGUGGAAAAUCAUCCCCAAAAUGGACCCGGGCAAUGGCGGCCAGUUCCCCGAACUCUGGUCAACCGACAAUGUGCUCGCUUUCGACGGCCGUUUCCUGUGCUGGGUCGACUACUUCAGCGGUGUCCUGCUAUGUGACUUCUCCAAAAAUAUGGACGCCCCGUCGCUCUGCUUUGUGCCUUUCCCUGGAGGAAAAGAGUACCGUGGUAAGGUACGGGUUGAAAGGUACUUCCCGGACAGAUUCCGAAGUGUGUCCAUCAGCCAAGGCAAGCUCUGCUUUGUCCACAUUGACAAUGACUUCCAUGACAGAGUCCCUGGUCGCUGCCGCCGAUGCCUUGAGCUUCCCGAUAGAAAAAGGCAAACUCCCCAGAAAAUCACCAUUUGGACUUUGAACUCCGAGUUCCAGUGGGAGCUGCACCGCAUGUUCAACCUGGAUUCUCUCUGGGCGCAAGCUGGUUACCGAGAUCUGCACAUACAUCAGCGUCUUCCUGAGUUCCCAACCAUCAGCUUGGAUGACCCCGAUGUUCUGUGCUGCCUGUUAACCGAGGAGGAAUUUGAUGGUAAUGGGUGGAUGAUCAUGCUUGACAUGAACCAUGCAUGUCUGCGGUCAUGUGAGUCUGUGGGUAUGGAAGCUCAUGUUAACAGGUUUCCUAAUGUCCCUCUACUCCCAACUGUCUUCUGCAAAUACCUUGAAAGGCCAACAGGUAACUAG
This 1347-nucleotide ribosomal RNA is filed under the name Triticum aestivum (bread wheat). Its description in RNAcentral is "partial small subunit ribosomal RNA". The record is from RNAcentral. Lineage: Eukaryota; Viridiplantae; Streptophyta; Magnoliopsida; Poales; Poaceae.